Molecule: ribosomal RNA, 425 nt
Filed under: uncultured bacterium
Lineage: Bacteria
Description: bacterial SSU rRNA
Rfam family: Bacterial small subunit ribosomal RNA
Source: RNAcentral
GGGGAAUUUUGGACAAUGGGCGAAAGCCUGAUCCAGCAAUGCCGCGUGCAGGAUGAAGGCCUUCGGGUUGUAAACUGCUUUUGUACGGAACGAAAAGGUUCUUUCUAAUAAAGAGAGCCCAUGACGGUACCGUAAGAAUAAGCACCGGCUAACUACGUGCCAGCAGCCGCGGUAAUACGUAGGGUGCAAGCGUUAAUCGGAAUUACUGGGCGUAAGGCGUGCGCAGGCGGUUAUGUAAGACAGAUGUGAAAUCCCCGGGCUUAACCUGGGAAUUGCAUUAGUGACUGCAUAGCUAGAGUGCGGCAGAGGGGGAUGGAAUUCCGCGUGUAGCAGUGAAAUGCGUAGAUAUGCGGAGGAACACCGAUGGCGAAGGCAAUCCCCUGGGCCUGCACUGACGCUCAUGCACGAAAGCGUGGGGAGCAAAC